Non-coding RNA from Cyanistes caeruleus (blue tit), 768 nucleotides. The record is from RefSeq and is a predicted model, not a curated record. NCBI's taxonomy places the organism in Eukaryota, Metazoa, Chordata, Aves, Passeriformes, Paridae.
UCUCCAUGCUAUCUUUAGCACAAGAAGAGAAGAAUGGUAAUGAGGACAGACCGUCAUCUCUGUAGUCUCCUCUGUGUGGGUAGCAAGUUAGUAUUGGAGUCUGCUGUGCAAGACACGUCUACACCCGUCGUUGCUGACUGAAUCUUCACGUCAUGGCCUGUGUGUUCUGUGUAGUCCCUGAUAGUGCAACUCAGGGGAAAUACUAGCAGAGAGGCUGCAAGUAGUCUGUGGAUAACCUGUGAAGAUCCCCGAAGUUUUUCUGUGUGGGACUGACAUUAAUUUUGAGGAUUGGAAUGAGCACUGCAGAUAGAGCAAUGUGUUUUUCAGCUAAGAGGGUUUAACCUUCUUUGUCAAUGACAAAUGCUCAUGUAGAUGCACUAAGAGGAUAUUUGAGCUUGGAAAAGUUGGGAGGUACUCCGGGAUUUGUUUUUCACCUGCAAGCAAGCAGCACAGCUUUAAAGGAACAGACCAGAAAGAGACCAGCUUGAUACAGACCACAGCAGUGCUACUUGGGGUUAAGCUGUCCUGCGUGAGAGCACAGAGAGCUCUCUUUAGAUGGUUUUUAGUGCAGUGAGGAUGGACAUCUGUGAUCAUCAUCAGCUGUGAGAAAACCCAGUCAAACCUCAUAACUCAAGAAUUAAGAUCAUAUCCUACUUUGGGCCUGCUGCUUGCCUCCCUUGUGGUUUUAGUGAAUCAAAGGAACUUGCAGUCUGUGUGGGCAAGGCUGGAAGAUAAGAGGCACAUACCUUCAGGAGGCGGUGUGUGCUA